GGCCAUAGAAUAUGGGACUGCCAUCAGGUGGAGGAACUUCCUAGAAGGAUUGCACUUUCAAGAAGAACCAUCAACACCCAAGAACUUUCUAUACGACAUUUACUUAGGAAUUUACAAAAACAUGAUUGGUUUGCUCAACAAGUUAAGAAGAUUUUCACCCAGAAAAACUUCCUUCGUCACACUUAACACUAGCCACCCACUCCUUGUAGCAAGAAGCAGCUGGGUAAAAAAUGAAACACAUCUACUCUAUGCUUAGUUUAAAUAAAAAAAUAAAAGAACAGAGGUGUAUGUAUGUCUCAUGGCCAGUCCCGAAAGGUAAUGGCAGUGAUGCAGCUUCUCCAGGCGAUGGAAUAUGAGACCAUCAUCAGGUGGAGGAACUUCAAUGGGUCGAUUUUUCUUUUGAAAUAUGAUUAUCGUAAAAUGAUCCUAAAUAGGUAUUAUAAAUGAAUGUCAGACUU
This 458-nucleotide long non-coding RNA is filed under the name Phoenix dactylifera (date palm). RNAcentral's name for it is "long non-coding RNA (PDAC_LNC004501)". Lineage: Eukaryota; Viridiplantae; Streptophyta; Magnoliopsida; Arecales; Arecaceae. The record is from RNAcentral.